ACUCCUACGGGAGGCAGCAGUGGGAAUAUUGCACAAUGGGGGAAAGCCCAUCGAUGCAGCCAUGCCGCGUGUGUGAAGAAGGCCAAUUCGGGCUUGGUUAAAGACACUUUUCAGUAGGGAGGAAGGUAGUGUAGUUAACACCUGCACUAUUUUGACGUUUACCUACAGAAGAAGCACCGGCUAACUCCGUGCCAGCAGCCGCGGUAAUACGGAGGGUGCGAGCGUUAAUCGGAAUUACUGGGCGUAAAGCGCAUGCAGGCGGCCUGUUAAGUCAGAUGUGAAAGCCC
Molecule: ribosomal RNA, 287 nt
Filed under: uncultured bacterium
Lineage: Bacteria
Description: partial 16S ribosomal RNA
Rfam family: Bacterial small subunit ribosomal RNA
Source: RNAcentral